GACUCUAAAUCAGGGGUGCCCAAAAUGUAGAUCCCUGGAUGUUUUAAAACUACAGUUUGCACGAUGCUUUGUCAUUCUAAAGGCAUGCAAAGCAUCAUGGGAGUUAUAGUUCUAGAAUAUCCGGGGAUCUACCUUUUGGACACCCCUACUCUAAAUC
Molecule: non-coding RNA, 157 nt
Organism: Pelobates cultripes (western spadefoot toad)
Lineage: Eukaryota; Metazoa; Chordata; Amphibia; Anura; Pelobatidae
Source: the annotation of a GenBank genome assembly